CAGCAGCCGCCGCGGUAAUACGAAGGGGGCUAGCGUUGUUCGGAAUUACUGGGCGUAAAGCGCACGUAGGCGGACAUUUAAGUCAGGGGUGAAAUCCCGGGGCUCAACCCCGGAACUGCCUUUGAUACUGGGUGUCUAGAGUAUGGAAGAGGUGAGUGGAAUUCCGAGUGUAGAGGUGAAAUUCGUAGAUAUUCGGAGGAACACCAGUGGCGAAGGCGGCUCACUGGUCCAUUACUGACGCUGAGGUGCGAGAGCGUGGGGAGCAAACAGGAUUAGAUACCCCUGUAGUCCCUGUCUCUUAUAC
RNAcentral lists this ribosomal RNA (304 nucleotides) under uncultured bacterium. Its description in RNAcentral is "partial 16S ribosomal RNA". It matches the Rfam family "Bacterial small subunit ribosomal RNA", at positions 506 to 807 of the family's 1533-position model. The record is from RNAcentral.